RNAcentral lists this small nucleolar RNA (122 nucleotides) under Neogale vison (American mink). RNAcentral's name for it is "Neovison vison (American mink) Small nucleolar RNA SNORA70 (ENSNVIG00000019273.1)". It matches the Rfam family "Small nucleolar RNA SNORA70". From Rfam's summary of the family: snoRNA U70 seems to be exclusive to mammals and is a member of the H/ACA class of snoRNA which contain H (ANANNA) and ACA box motifs. H/ACA box snoRNAs are involved in the conversion of uridines to pseudouridines (5-ribosyluracil) a constituent of structural RNAs (transfer, ribosomal, small nuclear, and small nucleolar). The record is from Rfam by way of RNAcentral. Lineage: Eukaryota; Metazoa; Chordata; Mammalia; Carnivora; Mustelidae.
CUAUAGCCAAUUAGGCCAACCAUGUUCUUUCCCCAGAUGUGUAAUGACUGCAAAUAGCAACUUCCUUGUAGUAUAAACAGUCUGUUGUGCAUAUGGGUUGCCCUAAGAACAUGGAGACAGAC